This 518-nucleotide ribosomal RNA is filed under the name uncultured organism. RNAcentral's name for it is "bacterial SSU rRNA". It matches the Rfam family "Bacterial small subunit ribosomal RNA", at positions 81 to 576 of the family's 1533-position model. The record is from RNAcentral.
CGGCGACUAUUAGAGUGGCGGAAGGGCGAGUACUGUAUGGGUAACGUACUUCUUGCACGAGGAUAGCCGCGGGACACUGCGGGUAAUACUCGAUGCUGUCCUAGGGUCAUAUGACCUCUGGAUGAAAGGCGGGGAUCUUCGGACCCUGUCGGCAGGAGAGCGGCCCAUAUGCUAUCAGCUAGUUGGUGAGGUAACGGCUCACCAAGGCGACGACGGCUAGCGGAGCUGAGAGGUGGGCCCGCCGCACUGGGACUGAGACACUGCCCAGACUCCUACGGGAGGCUGCAGUAACGAAUCUUCCGCAAUGGGCGAAAGCCUGACGGUACAAUGCCCGCGUGUGGGAAUAAACUCUUCGGAGUGUAAACCACUGUCAGGGGUUACCAAGGCAAUGUGAGCUAAUAUCUCCCGUGGUUGAGGAGCCCCAUAGGAAGCCACGGCUAACUUCGUGCCAGCAGCCGCGGUAAUACGAAGGUGGCGAGCGUUAUUCGGAAUCACCUGGGCUUACAGAGCACGUAGGC